RNAcentral lists this ribosomal RNA (119 nucleotides) under Helianthus annuus (common sunflower). Lineage: Eukaryota; Viridiplantae; Streptophyta; Magnoliopsida; Asterales; Asteraceae. The record is from RNAcentral.
GGUUGAGAUCAUACCAGCACUAAUGCACCGGAUCCCUUCAGAACUCCGCAGUUAAGCGUGCUUCGGCGAGAGUAGUACUAGGAUGGGUGACCCCCUGGGAAGUCCUCGUGUUGCAACCC